GACGAACGCUGGCGGCGUGCUUAACACAUGCAAGUCGAACGGAAAGGCCCUGCUUUUGUGGGGUGCUCGAGUGGCGAACGGGUGAGUAACACGUGAGUAACCUGCCCUUGACUUUGGGAUAACUUUAGGAAACUGGGGCUAAUACCGGAUAGGAGCUCCUGCUGCAUGUUGGGGGUUGGAAAGUUUCGGCGGGUGGGGAUGGUGUCGCGGCUUAUCAGCUUGUUGGUGGGGUAGUGGCUUACCAAGGCUUUGACGGGUAGCCGGCCUGAGAGGGUGACCGGCCACAUUGGGACUGAAAUACGGCCCAGACUCCUACGGGAGGCAGCAGUGGGGAAUAUUGCACGAUGGGCGGAAGCCUGAUGCAGCAACGCCGCGUGCGGGAUGACGGCCUUCGGGUCGUAAACCGCUUUCGCCUGUGACGAAGCGUGAGUGACGGUAAUGGGUAAAGAAGCACCGGCUAACUACGUG
RNAcentral lists this ribosomal RNA (468 nucleotides) under uncultured bacterium. Its description in RNAcentral is "partial 16S ribosomal RNA". It matches the Rfam family "Bacterial small subunit ribosomal RNA", at positions 28 to 507 of the family's 1533-position model. The record is from RNAcentral.